UUCCUAUGACAGCAGCCUGCCGCUUGGACACAGCAGUCUAACAUCUGGAUGAAUAUGUGUAUGAUGUUCCUGAGAAUGUUUCCUCAACAUUUACCAAGAGAAUUGCCUCACUCUUCUGGAUGAUGUGGAUCAUAGAUUGGAAUAUCUGAAAAUCCAGGAUGAGCAGCACCUGGUAAUUGAAGUUUGAAAUAAAGAUAUGAGUUGGCCUGAGGAAAUGUCCUUUAUAGCAAACAGUAGUAAAAUAGAUAGACACAAGGUGGACCAUAGCAACAUAUGCUCCCCAAUUUAAUGGGUUCCAGCAACAGGACUCCCAGGAACUUCUGGCUUUUCUCUUGGAUGGUCUUCAUGAAGAUCUCAUCCGAGUGCAUGAGAAGCCAUACGUGGAGCUGAAGGGCAGUGAUGGCCAACCAGACUGGGGUGUAGCUGCAGAGUGUGUAUUGCCUUGGAUGAUGAAGCAGUCACCUGUCAGGUCCCUCUGUGUGAAGAUCUGAGAUGUCUGCUGUCUGGUCCUGAUCAUCCUGAUGCUGCCAACAAUCCAAGAUCUAAGUAUUUUCUUGCCUGGGGAGCUGAGGCAUUCACUUCCGGUCAGCAUUACUGGGAGGUGGCAGACUGUGAUAACUUGACAAUUGGGGUUUGUAAUGAUUCUCGGACAAGGAAGUAUGACAUGGUGGUUGACU
This is a non-coding RNA of Vicugna pacos (alpaca), 677 nucleotides long. Lineage: Eukaryota; Metazoa; Chordata; Mammalia; Artiodactyla; Camelidae. The record is from RefSeq and is a predicted model, not a curated record.